CGCCAUCCACAGGGGUGCUCCGUAUUGCCGGGGCUGAGAUGCGGCACGCUAAGUGCGCGGACCCUAAAGCUGAUCUGGGUAAUACCAGCGGAGCGAGGCGGGCGAUGUUUUCCG
Molecule: non-coding RNA, 114 nt
Filed under: Devosia sp. Root413D1
Lineage: Bacteria; Pseudomonadati; Pseudomonadota; Alphaproteobacteria; Hyphomicrobiales; Devosiaceae
Also listed under: 1 other name
Description: TPP riboswitch aptamer (THI element)
Rfam family: TPP riboswitch aptamer (THI element)
About the family: Vitamin B(1) in its active form thiamin pyrophosphate (TPP) is an essential coenzyme that is synthesised by coupling of pyrimidine and thiazole moieties in bacteria. The previously detected thiamin-regulatory element, thi box was extended, resulting in a new, highly conserved RNA secondary structure, the THI element, which is widely distributed in eubacteria and also occurs in some archaea. Analysis of operon structures identified a large number of new candidate thiamin-regulated genes, mostly transporters, in various prokaryotic organisms.
Source: Rfam by way of RNAcentral